This is a long non-coding RNA of Fundulus heteroclitus (mummichog), 738 nucleotides long. RefSeq lists it as uncharacterized. The record is from RefSeq and is a predicted model, not a curated record. The transcript is spliced from 3 exons. NCBI's taxonomy places the organism in Eukaryota, Metazoa, Chordata, Actinopteri, Cyprinodontiformes, Fundulidae.
CACAGCUGAUGAUGCAGCAGGUUCAUCUGCUGCACAAGCGAUUAAAAGCGAGGAGCAGUUACAUGCGCCUGAAAGCGAGGAGCAGUUACAAGCACCUACAUUCACCGAUACGUUGGUUUCAAAAUCAGCCGGCAUGACAGGUCCUUCUACAUCUGCACCCACUGCUAUAGAUUUACCAUCUACUGCCUCAACAAGCUCCAGCUACCAAGAGAGAUCAACAGCUCCUCCAAUUGACCCAGUUGAAUGGUCAGCAUUCCUCUCAGACUUAGAAAGGACUGAACUGGUAAGAAGAGGGCCAGUGCCAAUCAGUGACACCUCUACAUUCCCCAAGAAAUCAGAUGGACGAAGCUUUCACUACCACUACACAUACAGACAAUUAGUUAAUGGGGAAAAAAUCAAGCGAAGCUGGCUAAUUUAUUCAAAGAAAAGUGAUGCAGUUUACUGCUUCUGUUGCAAAUUAUUCUCAAGAAAGUCCACAAAGCUGUCAACAGAGGGACUGCGUGAUUGGGUAAAUGUAGGUGCUUUGCUGAAACAGCAUGAAAAUAGUCAAGAUCAUUGCAAUAAUAUGGUGAAGUGGAAAGACUUUGCCCUCCGUCUUUCUAAGCAGAAGACUAUUGAUGCAACAGAAAUGGCCCUUUUGGAUGCAGAAAGAAAUCGUUGGAGAGAUGUUCUUAUCCGUUUGAUUAGUAUCAUUCAGUCUUUGGCAGAGAGAAAUCUUGCACUCAGGGGGUCAGUUGA